AUGAUUUCCACCUUCUUGGUUUCGAAGCCAAGAGAGACGGGCACCCUGUCAGGGCAGGAGCUGCAGAGUCCUUCAGCUCUGGAUGAGGGGGAGAGGGAAGAAGGAAGACAGCAGAAGCAGGGGCGAAGUGGGGACAGAGGAGAGGCUAAGCUUUCUGUGGAGGGAUUUGACCUGCAAUCAGCUAUGUGGAGCAUCGCUUUCCUGUGUGGCAGCAUCCUUCUCCUGCCUAGCACAGCUGGAACGCCUGCAACGCUAAAUUAUGCCGUGGCAAUACCAUCUCAGCUGUACUACCCCUUCUCAGAGACAGUGUGCCUCCAGCUCAGCAGAAAGCAAGCAGUCCCGAUUGAUGUGACAGUAACCUUGCAAAGCAGAGCUGGGAAUGCGACUCUGAUCACUCAGUCCAUCUCUCAGCUCACCUUCUUUCAUUGCACAAGCUUCCAGGUCCCUCAUCCUGUUGGAAACCCUGAUGAAGUGGCUUUUAUCAUUAUCACAGUCCUGGAGGCCAACUCAGAGUUUCAGAAGAAACAGAAAGUCCUAAUCACGCACGCAGACAAGAAGACUUUUAUCCAGACAGACAAACCUGUGUACAAACCUGGACAGAUUGUCAUGUUGCGAAUUGUAACCUUGGAUCAGAACUUUAUCGCCAGCAAUGAAAGGCACCGCCUGGUGGAACUGAAGGACCCCAAAGGGAACCGAAUUGCACAGUGGCUGAAUGUUACACCUGUGGGAGGCAUAGUGGAUCUGUCCUUCCCUCUGGCUGCAGAAGCACCGGUUGGAGAGUACACCAUCAAAAUGCCUGACCGCGCACAUUCCUUCAGGGUAGAGGAGUAUGUGCUGCCCAAAUUCAGUGUCUCCAUCCAGAUGCCUCAGGUGGUCACCAUCUUGGAGGAGAACUUCCGUCUCCACAUCUGUGGCAUGUACACGUAUGGGAAACCAGUCCAAGGUACUGUGAAGGCUGUGGUGUGCCGUAAACAUACCCGCUAUAAUUGGAGGUCUUCCAAAGCCAAGCGCAGUAUUUGUAAGGAUUACGCUGGCAAGACAAACGAGGAUGGCUGCUUUGCCACUGAGGUGAAUAUUAAGAUGUACCACCAGAAGCGUGGUGACAAUUAUGAUUUCAACCUGGAAGCUGUGGCUUUUCUGAAAGAAAGUGGAACAGGCGUGGAGUUCAACACCACUGAAAACUGCAAGGUCACUUUUGAUAUCACAACUCUCCAAUUCUGGGGGACAAGCUACUACUAUCAGCAAGGAGCUCCCUACUAUGGAAAUCUGGAACUCAAAAGUACCAAUGGGACACACCUGAAGAACAAGGAGGUGAUUCUUACAGUGUCCUAUGGUAGCAGGAAGCAGACCAAGACCUACUUUACGGAUGAUACUGGGAUGGCCUCUUUCACUUUAGACACGUCAGCAUGGGACAACAGCAGUAAAGUUCUGCUACAGGCAAAGACCCAGCCGGAGGACUUAGGCGGUCAAAAUGUGAGAGUGUCUUACGGCACUGCAUCCCUCACACUGAGGGCCUUCUACUCAUCCAGCCGCAGCUCUGUGAGGAUCCAGCCAGUGCAGGCGGCGCUGCCCUGCGGGGACGUGCAGCAGGUCACUGUGCACUAUCGCAUCCUAGCCACGGAGCUGCGGGACGGCGCUGCCACAGCAGACUUCUACCACCUGGUUUUGGCCAGAGGAUCUCUUGUGCAUCACGGCCAAACAACAGUACUUCUUGCUCCGCCAUUAGGUCAGUAUAGUGGGGCUUUCAAUGUCACUCUGCCCAUUGACCUCAUUUCACCCAUGGCUACCCUCUUUGUUUACACUGCUUUCCCUGAGGGACAAGUGGCAGCUGACACCUUCAGUCUGAAAGUCUCCAAGUGCUUCAGGAACCAUGUGAAGCUUGGCUUCUCAGACACGGUGGCUCUCCCAGGAUCGGCUGUCCGUCUCCAUUUGCAGGCUGCACCAGGCUCCUUAUGUAGCAUCCGUGCCGUAGACCAGAGCGUCCUUCUCCUGAGGCCAGAGGCUGAGCUAUCCAUGGAUAGUGUGUACAAUAUGUUCAGUUAUACUCAGGAGCACCCCAGCACCCUCACAGACUCUUACAGCGACUACUGUUCUAUCCACAAGAGCCCAGAAAUCAUCAGUUCCCUUCAAACCACCCUUCCACCAGGAACAAUGUCACCAUUCAUGUACAACAGAUACGCUUACGCAGUGUCCCAACCAGACAUUUAUGAACUGCUGAAGAAUUCAGGUCUAACAUUUUUAACCAACCUUAAAAUCAAGUCUCCAAUUGAGUGCCGCACUCAGACCACUUUCUACUACGACUACAUGUCUUAUGGCGAGCUGGCAGACUUGGACAACUUGGACCGAGAAACAGAUGCUGCUGUUGAACGUGCUGAGUCAGAGCACGUUGAGCUGGGUAGCGAGGCAGGGCCAGUACGUACCUGGUUUCCAGAGACAUUCAUCUGGACUCUGGUUCCCAUCAAUGAUUCAGGGGUUGCUGAGCUAGCUGUCACAGUACCUGACAGUAUUACAGACUGGAGAGCCAUGACCUUCUGCACCUCAGAGAGCCAUGGGUUGGGAAUCUCAGAGACCACCAACCUGCGGAGCUUCAAGCCCUUCUUCGUGGAACCCACCUUGCCCUACUCUGUUUUCCGGGGAGAGUCAUUUCCCCUGAAAGUCAAAGUCUUCAGCUACCUGAAGCAGUGCAUGGUGCUCCAGCUUAGCCUAAUGGACUCCAGGGAUUUUGAAUUUGUGCAUGCAAAUGUCAGGUUCACUAUUUGUCUGUGUCCUGAUUCAGCAAAAACAUUUUUCUGGGAUUUGAAGGCUACAAAAUUAGGGAAGGUGAAUUUCACUGUCACUGCUGAGGUGAUGGAGCAGGAAGAUGUUUGCACUGAGAAUACAGCUGUUGUGCCAGAGUCUGGAGGGAAGGACACAGUGGUUAAACACCUGCUGGUGAAGGCAGAGGGGCUGCUGGAGGAAAAGACCUACACCUCACUCCUGUGCCCUAAAGGAACUUCAGCUUCAGAGACAAUCACUUUCACUAUGCCAGAGAACAUGGUCCUUGGGUCGGAGAGAGCCCACAUCUCAUUCUUAGGUGACAUUUUGGGGACAGCACUGGACAACAUAGAUGAGCUCCUCCAGAUGUCCAGUGGCUGUGGUGAGCAGAACAUGGUUCAUUUUGCCCCCAAUGUCUUUAUCACACGAUAUCUUGAAGAAACAGGACAACUGACUCCAGAAAUCAAACAGAAGGCAAUUGGCUAUUUGGAAAGCGGAUAUCAGCGGCAACUCCUGUACAAGCACGCAGAUGGCUCAUACAGUGCCUUUGGAGAAGGAAGUGAGCCAGGGAACACAUGGCUUACUGCCCUUGUCCUCAAGACCUUCAGCCAAGCCCGGGACUUCAUCCACAUAGAUGAGCAGAAUAUAAAGGAUGCUGCCAAUGCCCUGAUUAAAAGUCAGACUCCAUCUGGCUGCUUCAAGAGUGUGGGAAAGCUCUUCAACAAUGGUCUGAUGGGUGCAGUGGAGGAAGGACUGGGGCUGAGCUCUGCGAUCAUCACAGCUCUCAUACACUCCGGGAUGCCACGCUCCGACCCAGUUGUGUGGAAAGCUCUGAAAUGUAUAAAGGACCUGGUCAAUGCUGAUACUGGCAGUUCCAACCUCUACAGCCUGGCACUAGCCGCAAAUGCCUUUGCAGUAGCAGGUGAUAAGGACCUCAGGCAGAAAAUCCUCAAAAGAUUGGAUAAUGCCGCCAUAAUAUCAGAUGACCAAAUAUUCUGGAGCCAACAGUCAAAACAGGAAGAAGACUCCCUAUAUUGGUAUCGGGCUCCAUCUGUUGAUGUGGAAUUGACCUCUAGUAUCCUCAUGGCUCACCUUUCAAAGUCAAGUUUGUCUUCAGAUGAAAUCAGAAAGGCAUCCCAGAUUGUGUCUUGGCUCACCAAGCAGCAAAACCCUUAUGGAGGCUUUGCUUCAACCCAGGACACAGUGGUUGCUCUGGAAGCCCUAGCCCUGUAUGCAACCAAGACUUUCAGCAAGGAUGGCCCUGAUCUUCAGGCUUCUCUCUCCUCUGAGGGUUUCAGCCAAAACAUCAAAGUAGACAACACCAAUCGCCUCCUGCUGCAGAGAGUGGAGCUGCCAGCCAUUCCCCGAGAUUAUACCGUGCAUGUGCAGGGCCAUGGGUGCCUCUUCCUGCAGGCCACCCUGCGGUACCACAUCCCUCCGCUGAGGACCGACGUCACCUUUGCCAUGUCUGUGCAGACAGAGUGCACCGCACCCAACGCCACCCAGUUCCCUGUCACCGUUCAUGCUCGGUAGGAGACACUCAGUUGUCCCUUGCCUCCUCUGUGCUAAGAGGCUUCUGGCACCACACCAGUCUCUUGCUGGCCAGGAUUCCCCUUCACUCAUGAGGUCCAAGUGCUAAGAUGUCCCCAUUCAUUUAACUGUGGUAUCUUCAGUUGGGUGAAAGGUACCAGGCCCCAGAGGGAUGGCUCAGGCUAUAGUCCUAUCUCAUUAUCAUGCCAGUCACCACAAGUUCUCCCAAGGUCUAUGGGUCCCACCCCCUUCUAGGAUUAGGUCUCAAAACGCUAGUGAUGUGAAGGUCACGUGGGACUGACUGCUGACACUUAUUCCUAAGUCUUCCCUCCUCUGCUCCUGGUUGACUGUCACUCCACUCUCCUCUGCUGUACCCCUGCCUGAUUUGGGACAGAACUGCCAAGGGAGCAGGCGGAGGAUGUGAUAUUCCCUGCCAUGCCUAGAGAAGGAAUAGGUAUGCUUACAGGAGAAACACUGGAAGGAAAGGCAGAUUCCUCCACCUGAGUACCAAAGCUGGGCUGGAGUAUCUGGAGAUCAUGGGUCAGAAAGUAACAUUAGUGCUGUCCCCUGGGUUCCUGCUGCAGCUACACAGGGAACCGUGUGUCCACCAACAUGGUCCUGAUCCAAGUGGAGCUGCUGUCUGGAUACAGCCCCGUGGCAGGUUCACUG
Molecule: RNA transcript, 4953 nt
Organism: Aquila chrysaetos chrysaetos
Lineage: Eukaryota; Metazoa; Chordata; Aves; Accipitriformes; Accipitridae
Gene name: alpha-2-macroglobulin-like protein 1
Exons: 32
Source: RefSeq, a predicted model, not a curated record